This 935-nucleotide long non-coding RNA is filed under the name Homo sapiens (human). RNAcentral describes it as "non-protein coding LINC00710:25". Lineage: Eukaryota; Metazoa; Chordata; Mammalia; Primates; Hominidae. The record is from RNAcentral.
GAGAGACUCAAAGAUGGGACAAAUGUGUCAUUUAAAUGCCUGUUAAAAUGGAAACAGACAUAGUAUAGUCAGAGGAUUGUGGCAGCUAAGAACAUAGUCUCUGGAGCAAAUCUGCAUGGGUGGCAAUGCCAAGCACAUGAGGUCCUAGUUGUAUGAACUUAGGAAAAGAAAAAGAGAACAUAUAUCCCCCUACCUUUUGAUUUCCAACAGUCUACUGAGAGGCCAAGAUUAUUUGCAGGGAAAGAAAAGGGGAAUGCCAUCCCCACCCUCUCGCAGCUACGUGCCAGUUCCAGAGCACCUGUUCCCCUCUACUUUGAAAAGGUCAAAAUGUUUUGCCAGUAACUCCCAAAUCAUCUACAGCCAAGGAGAAAAGUGUUUCAAGACAGAGGUGCUCAAUGGUAUCAAAUACUGCCAACAGACCAAGUAAUACAUGCAUUGAAGUGUCUACUGGAUCUAGCUAUAUGAAUUUUUAAUUUAGGACACUUAGGCCAUACUGAAGCAAGGUGACAAAAUGAAUAGCUACAAUGUCUCGUGAAUCUUGGGUUUCCAUUCACCCUGGUAUUCAAGAGAAAUUCUUGCAUCAUGGAAGUUGCAGUUGGAUAGGACUUUCUCAGCUGAACACUGUCAUCUGCCAGAGCUUCAGGCAAGAACCCAGAACAGAUGAAACCCCAGACAUGACAAAAUAAGCCAAAGAAUACCAGGCCAAGGUGUGAAAGGCCAGAUGAGAACAAGCAGCGUACACGAUUCUGUUGCCAACAGAUCUCCCCUAACAGUGUCGUGCACCAAAUUUCCACAGUGAAUGUCAGGAAAAAAUGGCAAUUGAGGUGGGUGGUCAAAAGAGAAGCACAGUCUAUGAUGAAGUCACCCCAGAGAAGUCCUUUUUCCGUUUUCUCCUGAGAAAUUACCAGAAGAAAUUAAAAUCCUUUUGAGUAUUG